UUUUUUUUUUUUUUUUCGAUUUUUUUUAUAUGUUUAUAUAAUUUACGAUAACUGUGGUGUAUACGUGCUGUCAGACGAAAGAUACAUAUGUGCCCUCUAAAUAUCUUUUUUACUAUGGAUUGUUUGCUUUCGUAUUGACGUUUAACACACAACUUUAAUUACUGACUGUGAUGUAUGUAGAAAUUCAAACGUACUGGAGAAUGAAGGAUGCAAAUCCAAGCUUUGAAUUAAAAUGGUCAUUAAAAUUGCAACACAAAUAAA
This 261-nucleotide long non-coding RNA is filed under the name Mytilus galloprovincialis (Mediterranean mussel). Lineage: Eukaryota; Metazoa; Mollusca; Bivalvia; Mytilida; Mytilidae. The record is from RNAcentral.